Molecule: RNA transcript, 1910 nt
Organism: Ochotona curzoniae (black-lipped pika)
Lineage: Eukaryota; Metazoa; Chordata; Mammalia; Lagomorpha; Ochotonidae
Gene name: heat shock cognate 71 kDa protein-like
Exons: 1
Source: RefSeq, a predicted model, not a curated record
AUGUCUAUGGAACCCACAGUUGGCAUCCAUCUUGGCACCACUCACUCGUGCGUGGGUGUCUUCCAGCACAGCAAAGUGGAGAUCAGGGCAAUCGCACCACCUGGGGCUAUGUCGCCUUUACUGACAUGGAACGACUCACCGGUGACACUGCAAAGAAUCAAGUAGUGAUGAACCCCACCAACACGGUUUUUGAUGCCAAACGACUGAUUGGACGUAGAAUCGUUGAUGUUGUUGUUCACUCUGACACAAGGCCCUGACCCUUCAUGGUGGUGAAUGAUGCCGGCAGGCCCAAGGUGCAGGUAGAAUACAAGGGGGAGACGAGAGCUUCUGCCUGGAGGAGGUGUCCUCCAUCAUUCUGACCAAAAUGAAGGAGAUUGCGGAAGUCUACCUUGGCAAGACUGUUACCAACGCUGUGGUCACAGUGCCCACCUACUUCAACCACUCUCAGCGUCAGGCCACCAAAGACACUGCAACCAUUGCUGGUCUCAAUGUUCUUCGGAUCUUCAUCGAGCCAACUGCUGCUGCUAUUGCUUAUGGUCUGGACAAGAAGGUUGGGCCUGAAAGAAAUGUGCUGAUUUUUGACCUGGGAGGUGGCACUUUUGACGUGUCUAUCCUCACAAUUGAAUCUGGAAUCUCUGAGGUCAAGUCCGUAGCUGGAGACACCCAUUUAGGUGGAGAAGAGUUUGACAACUGAAUGGUCAACCAUUUUAUCACAGAGUUCAAGCACAAGCAUAAGAAGGGCAUCGGUGAGAACAAGAGAGCUGUCAGGUGCCUGCACGCUGCUUGUGAGCAGGCUUCCAGCAUCCAGGCAAGCAUUGAGAUGGAUUCUCUGUAUGAAGGAGUCAACUUCUACACCUCCAUGACCCGUACUCGAUUUGAAGUGUUGAACGCUGACCUUUCCAUGGCACCCUGGACCCCGUCGAGAAGGCCCUUUGAGAUGCCAAGUUACACAAGUCACAGAUCCAUAAUAUUGUCCUGGUGGGUGGUUCCACCAGAAUUCCCCUAAUCCAGAAGCUGCUUCAGGACUUCUUCAGUGGGAAAGAGCUGAACAAGAGCAUCAACCCUGAUGAGGCUGUUGCCUAUGGUGCAGCUGUGCAGGCAGCCAUUCUGUCUGGAGACAAGUCUGAGAACGUUCAGGAUCUGUUGCUGUUGUAUGUCACUCCUCUUUCCCUUGGCAUUGAGACUGUUGGUGAAGUCAUGACCAUGCUCAUCCAGUGCAAUACCACCAUUCCCACUAAGCAGAUGCAGACCUUCACCACCUACUCAGACAACCAACCUGGUAUGCUCAUUCAGUUCUAUGAAGGUGAGCAUGCUCUGACCAAGGAUAACAAUCUGUUUGGCAAGUUUGAACUCACAGGCAUACCACCUGCACCCUGUGGCGUUCCUCGGAUUGUAGUCACCUUUGAUAUUUAUGCCAACGGCAUCCUUAACGUCUCUGCUGUGGACAAGGGCACUAGGAAAGAGAAUAGAUCACCAUCACUAAUGACAAGGGUCGUUUGAGCAAGGAAGAUAUUGAGCAGAUGGUACAGGAAGCUGUGAAGUACAAAGCUGAAGAUGAGAAGCAGAGAGACAAGGUGUCUUCUAAGAAUUCACUCGAGUCUUACUCAUUCAACAUGAAAGCAACUGUUGAAGAUGAAAAACUUCAGUGCAAGAUUAAUGAUGAGGACAAACAGAAGAUUCUUGAUAAAUGUAAUAAAAUCAUCAAUUGGCUGGAUAAGAACCAGACUGCAGAAAAGGAGGAAUUCGAACAUCAGCAGAAGGAGCUGGAGAAAGUCUGAAACCCCAUCAUCCCCAAGCUGUACCAGAGUCCAGGGGGCAUGCCAGGAGGGAUGCCAGGCGGCUUCCCUGGCAAAGGUGCUCCUCCUUCCCGGGGUGCUCCCUCAAGGCCCACCAUUGAAGAAGUAGAUUAA